GUCAGAUCGUGUCCUUACUGCACAAGCUGCUGGAGCUUUUUGACCUGAACGAAUUGCGUGACAGCGACGUAGCACACAUAGCGGGAGAAGAGCCUCAGCACAUGCUCUUUUUGUACCUAAUUCAGCUGCUGGCUAUAUUUGUGAGCCGCUGUCUGGAGGAGAAAGAUCUUGCCACCAUCUUGGGCUUGGCAUCGGCCCCUUUCCUGGAGGCCAACUUCUGCAAUCCUCUGUGCGCUGCGACGCUGUUGAGGCCCAUGUUCAUUCCCUACUACGAUCAGCAGGCGGGUAAGAAGAAUAGAAAAGGUGAGCCCGCGGGAGCUGAGCCUAAAGACCCAGAGGCCAGGCUGAAAUAUUACAGGCUGUUUUUAGGGUACGAACUGGACAACAAGGGGUCAGAUGUGUCCAACGGAGUGGAUAUAAGCUGGACCGAACACAGCGUGAUGCAAGGCAUUCAGGGGUGCAAAAUCGCAGAGAUGAAGAGCAGAAAGCUUUGGUUUGUGGCUCCUCAGAUGGGCGACAGGAUGCUCAUGGUUAAGGACUGUGGUCUGAAAAUGAUGGGAGGGCAGAAGGACGAAAAGGCCCAGAAGAUCUGCUCCUGCUUGCUGUCUGACAACGUGAUGGCGUACAUGCAGUGCGCUUUGUUUGGCGCAAUCUCCAACAUGCUGCCCUGUCACGCAAACAGCGACUUCACAGAGGCCGUGAUGGCUACCAUCGGGAGUGACAUGACCAAGUUCUCUGACGUCGUUCGGCACCAGAGCGCGAACCUGAUGUUGCAGCUGAGUAAGAUGACGGACAGCUGCCUGUACAUCUCGGGGGUAGGUUUUGCUGGACAGGAUAAAGGUAACUCUCUCUACUUUGGAAAGGUUUUUACCGGAACCGAAGACAAGAGACCCCCUCAGCAUCAGACGACGAGGUUAGGGGUUUUUACUUCGGUGACGCUGGGACUCUCCCAGAACACCAUGAUGAGCUCCCUCUUGGCCAUUGCCAUGAAACAAAAGCACGAUCAAACUGGCAGUAGCGUGCAGAGCACGCUGUCUAAAGUGUGCAAGUCUGUAAUGGUUACUAAGGUGGCGAUGGACAUGUCAUUCUACGCUCGCUAUCAUCACAGGUUUAACGCUGGCGAAUUCACAGAAGUCGCUCAGGUGAAAGCGCUGAGUGACCCCCGC
Molecule: long non-coding RNA, 1166 nt
Filed under: Betta splendens (Siamese fighting fish)
Lineage: Eukaryota; Metazoa; Chordata; Actinopteri; Anabantiformes; Osphronemidae
Description: lncRNA (ENSBSLG00000021896.1)
Source: RNAcentral